CAGUCAGCAGCUGCCUGAGGAUCUGGGAGAGACCUAGCAGGCAGUGAGGACAGUGGAUGGCAAGGGGCCUCAGAGCUCUGUGACCUCAUAAUUUUCCUGUGGGACCACAAAGGUGGCUUCCACAGUGCAUAGUGGUUAUCAGCUGUGCCUCCCUCUUAGAGGUCCUCGGAGUCCAGAGUCCUCGAAGGGAAAUCUGACACAAAGAAGCAGCAGGUAAAUGAAGGAGAAAAGAAAAGAACAAAAUCCACCGGGAACCAGAGACUUCCAGGCUCCAAAGACAGGCAAUCUCCACCAGGAAGGCUGGAGUGCAGCUGAGGUCUGGCUUUAGCCAAGGAGAGCACCUUGAAACCUGGCAGAGAAUUACAGUGAACCAGAAGACUAAGUGAAGCAUGAACUGGCAUAAUAUGCUUUCCUGGCUGAAAACCAUGAAUGACCCAGAAUAGUUCAUAUCUUUGGAAGAUCCUUAUUUUCCUUGUAAAUGAAAGUCAUGCAUUUGGAAUAAUAACAUGAAAUGAUG
Molecule: long non-coding RNA, 517 nt
Filed under: Homo sapiens (human)
Lineage: Eukaryota; Metazoa; Chordata; Mammalia; Primates; Hominidae
Description: non-protein coding LINC01517:2
Source: RNAcentral